AGGGAGGGGGAGAAAGAGCAAAGCGGAGAAGGAAGAAGAGGAGGAGGGAAAGGAUGAGAGGAGGGAGGGGCCGGGCGGGGCCAUCUGUGCUGCAACUCCCUGGGCUGGAUUUGCUUACAGGUAGACUCCUGGUCUGGAGCUGCCGAGCAAAUAGGGGGUGGGGGAGCUGUCCCGCCCCGCCCUUGGGGACACACCCCCCACAUACAGACUGGCACACAUUGGCCCCCUGCCAGGUGGAGCCCGCCCUGGCUCUGCUCUGCGCCCCUCCUCCCCUCCCGUCAGCCUACAGUCCAUAGAUCCAUGCACCCCUCCCCGUCCACCUAGCCUCCGGGUCUUUACGGUCCUCUCCGCCCCCUUCAAUCCGGGCCUGGAAACCCCGCCUGCCCUCCUUUUCCUUGGGUUCGGCUCCUUGGAAUCGCUGCAGGACCCGCCCAGCCCUUGGUCACGGUUCCGGCCACGGUCACGGUCACGCAUGGAGGGAGCCCGGUGGCAGUAGCCAGCUCGGGAGGCUCCCAGAGCAAGGGUGCUGUGAAGGCCUCGAGCUUCUGACGCCGGCCUACCCGGCUUCUUUGGCGUAGUGCAGAGCGGUUCUGGGGACCUUGCUGCUAACUGUACUCUCGCCACCUGCCUGAAGGGACCCAGCGCUCACUCUACAAAUCAGACCUUUCUGAAGCACCCUGGAGGGUGCCCUGCAGGCACCGGAAUAUCUGAAGCGCCCAGCGACAUUUCAGAAUUUCCGUGGAGCUGGGAAGGAGCUGAUGAAACCUGGUGCAACCGUGUGGUCUCCGUGUUUGCUGGGGUCCCUCUGAAGCCGCAUUCCUCAAAUAACUUCACUUUGGGAAGGAAGAAGAGGUCUGUGGUGACCGGGAGCCCUUCUGAGGUGAGGGAGGGACGUCCGAGGGAAGAUUCUCUCCUUUAUUCGCUCUCCCCCGGAGCCACCGGGCUAGAGCGUGGGCACAAUCUGGGGCUACUUCUCCAAGAGCGGAGGAAGGGAGCCAGUGAGUACGGAUCCCCGUGACUUGGAGGAAAAGCCACGACCCCUGGCAGUGGGCGAGAGGCGGAGCAUGCCAGGCGGGCCACCUCUGAGCUCUAGGCUCCUUCUUCGACGGGGCGAUCACGUCUGAAUUGGAGGCUGGAGAUGGCCUCCAGGGAGCUCACACGAAAGGAAUGGUUUGGGGGCUGAGAUUCCCUCCCAUUCUCUAGCCAGUACGGCUUGACAACUCGUGUUCCAUGGGUCAAUCCUCCUGGUCUUCCUUUGUAUCCCCAGCCAUCGCCCAGUGCCCGGCACAUGGUAGGCACUUAGUACAAGUUUGCUGAUUAGGAGUCCUUGUAGCCCCCGAUGGACAUGCCCAAGGCUCCCCCGAGUCCCAGAGAGAAAACUCUCCCACUCGGUUACAUUGGACUUCUUGGCUGUGUGGGCAGCUGAAGCCGGACAUAUGUCUGUGUGGUGACUGGUUGGGGUGAGAUGCAAGCUGUUGGGAUGUGGGCGAGAGUUUUGUCAUAGCUCGUCUAUUAAGCAGAAUUAGCUCCUGGCAUUAGCUGGCUCUGAAAUCUGCCUGGGCACCCGUGGGGCUCAGGGACCAGCAAGUGUUAGAUUAUGUGUGUACAUAGAUAGAUAGAUAGAUGGAUAGAUAGAUAGAUAGAUAGAUAUAGAUAUAGAUAUGGGGUGGGGGUAGAAAAGAGAGAGAGGGAGGGAGAGAGAGGGAAGAGGUAGGGGAGGGAGAGAGGGAGAGAGGGGGGAAAGAGAGAAGGGAGAGAGAAGGAAAACCAGAGACAGAGAGAG
RNAcentral lists this long non-coding RNA (1783 nucleotides) under Monodelphis domestica (gray short-tailed opossum). Its description in RNAcentral is "lncRNA (ENSMODG00000033902.2)". The record is from RNAcentral. Lineage: Eukaryota; Metazoa; Chordata; Mammalia; Didelphimorphia; Didelphidae.